Molecule: transfer RNA, 76 nt
Filed under: Syntrophaceae bacterium
Lineage: Bacteria; Pseudomonadati; Thermodesulfobacteriota; Syntrophia; Syntrophales; Syntrophaceae
Description: tRNA-Glu
Rfam family: tRNA
About the family: Transfer RNA (tRNA) molecules are approximately 80 nucleotides in length. Their secondary structure includes four short double-helical elements and three loops (D, anti-codon, and T loops).
Source: RNAcentral
GUCCCCAUCGUCUAGCGGUCCAGGACAUCGGCCACUCAAGCCGAAGACAGGGGUUCGAAUCCUUUUGGGGACGCCA